Molecule: long non-coding RNA, 1783 nt
Organism: Felis catus (domestic cat)
Lineage: Eukaryota; Metazoa; Chordata; Mammalia; Carnivora; Felidae
Exons: 2
Source: RefSeq, a predicted model, not a curated record
CACGGGGCUUGAACCCAUGAGCUGCGAGAUCAUGGCCUGAGCCGAAGUCGGAUGCUUAACCAAGUGAACCACCCAGGAGCCCCCAACUACAGCAUUUGAAGGGGAGGAUCUAAUUCCACACAAAAUGGAAGACUCUGAAGUGUACCCAUUAAACUGCUAAAAAACAAAAAUAGAGUAAACUGCCACGCUGUCAAAGGUCCUUUGAGAGGGACAUAAAACAAAAAACUCAAGUAGUCUCUGGGAGCUAAAAGAAGCCCCUGGCUGACGGCCAGCCAAGAAACAGGGACCUCAGUCUUAACAACCACCGAAUUCUGAAUUCUGAAUUCUGCCAACAAUCGCAUGAGCUUGGAAGAGGACCCCAAGCUUCAGGUCAGCCCACCUGACACCUUAUCUGGAAACUUAUGCGACCCUGAGCAGAGGACCCAGACCCCUGACCCAGGAGUCUGAGAUAAUGAAGAUGCCGAUCAUGAUGGGACCAAACUGUGCAGAAGAGGUCAAAGAGAUGUGCGCAGGCUAAAGGAGCCUUGGAUGAGGGGAAGCCAGUCAGCAAGGGAGGUCACCAAUCGCACACAUCCGUCUGCCUCCGAAGCAUUACUGACAAACUCUUCUUUUAUUACUAAGCAAGUUGCUCUUACCUGCAAACCUCCACUCCCUGACAAACACUGCUUUAUCACAAUACCACACAGUAGAAAGCUGACCACCCCAAAUAUGCAUGUAGAUAGCCAGACAGAGUAUUGGCUAUCCACUUGGUGACUUGGCCUGUUGGAAACUAAACUGGAAAGGUGUCUACUGUCCUAAUAACUUCUCUACCGGGCAACUUUCUCUCACUGAGUUCCCUGGAUAGCAGAGGGAAUCUUAAGGAAGGAUGGACCUGGACUUAAGUCCAGGCCCAAACAACUCCUGGCUUUGUAGCCUUGGAGAAGCUUCGCGGGUACUCUGGGCAUCAUCUCUAACAUACACAUAAUAAUUCUAUCCUAGGGUUAUGGAGAAUAUUAGCUGAGGUGAUACCUAUGAAAUACUUCGUACAAUGCUCAAACACAUUAGCUCAAACAUAAAAAUGCUCAAACACAUUAGCUGUUGUUUUUAAAGAUAUUAUGAGACAGGUAAUGUACUCAAUAAGCUCUUCAAAGCGGUCAGAGGCAUCCUUUCUCUUUGGUCCUGAAAUCAACAAUGUUACUCUCGUGUUGGAGCUAGAAAAGUCUGCCAUUUAGCGUCAGGGUAACAUCAAGCACAUUUUUGCGUGGGUGGCCCCCCUUCUUCAUGCAGGAUAAAGAUCGAGUUAAGCACAGUACUUUGGGACCCCAGAAGUCAAGGCCUAUAGCUGCAGUGGUCCGGGAGUGGGGAGGGGGCCACCACUGCUAAACGGAGCAUUUCCUCUCAUGCGAUCUGUUUCCCUCUGGCUUCCUGUGCUGCUCACGCAGAUACAACCACAAGCCGGCUUUGCAGUGCAGUUUAAUGAUGUUCCCAUUGCAUAAGGUUUUGUUUGGGUGCAGUUCGGUCAAAAUGAGGUGGGGGCAGGGGGAGUGCAAUCUGUUGCAGCUGUUCAUCAUUACCCAGAUAAGCUUCAGAAGCCUCCCAAUUAACCUUCGUGUGUAAUAAAGCCAAUCAGCACAUAAAAACAAGAAUUUCUCAUUUACUGAAAUGAUAUUUGGCUUGUAAUUGCUGUCUGAGAAUGUUGAACCAAGUAGAAAACAUUAAGAAAAUUGCACUCCUCCCCACAAAUUUAAGCUUAGUGAUUAUUAAAGAAAAAAAAAAGACUAAGAAUGUCAUUUGGUAGCAUAAG